RNAcentral lists this transfer RNA (72 nucleotides) under Pangasianodon hypophthalmus (striped catfish). Its description in RNAcentral is "tRNA-Asp". It matches the Rfam family "tRNA". Rfam says of the family: Transfer RNA (tRNA) molecules are approximately 80 nucleotides in length. The record is from RNAcentral. Lineage: Eukaryota; Metazoa; Chordata; Actinopteri; Siluriformes; Pangasiidae.
UCCCUGGAGGACCAGUGGUUAGGCCUUGGCGCUAUCACCGCUGCAGCCCGGGUUUGAUUCCCAGCCAGGGAA